Molecule: ribosomal RNA, 253 nt
Filed under: uncultured bacterium
Lineage: Bacteria
Description: partial 16S ribosomal RNA
Rfam family: Bacterial small subunit ribosomal RNA
Source: RNAcentral
UACGUGGGGGGCAAGCGUUGUCCGGAAUCAUUGGGCGUAAAGAGCGUGUAGGCGGUUCGGUAAGUCGGCUGUGAAAGUCCAGGGCUCAACCCUGGGAUGCCGGUCGAUACUGCCGGACUAGAGUUCGGAAGAGGCGAGUGGAAUUCCCGGUGUAGCGGUGAAAUGCGCAGAUAUCGGGAGGAACACCUAUGGCGAAGGCAGCUCGCUGGGACGUUACUGACGCUGAGACGCGAAAGCGUGGGGAGCAAACAGG